This 6397-nucleotide long non-coding RNA is filed under the name Homo sapiens (human). RNAcentral describes it as "non-protein coding lnc-ZNF727-6:9". Lineage: Eukaryota; Metazoa; Chordata; Mammalia; Primates; Hominidae. The record is from RNAcentral.
GAGAGCCUGGCUAGGCAGGCUGGAAACAGUAGCUCUUAACGGUCCCCCGCCCGUUGGUGGCAAGGCGGCUGGACUGGAAUCCCAGCAGGCGACAUGCGAGGAGGCGGGCAGCCCAGGAGGGUUGGACACGGCAAUGUGGACCUCGCCGCUUCCACAACGAUGCUGGCUACUGAUCGCGUGCACUUCCUUGCCAAAGAAAGUGAGUCCGGAGAGGGACAGGAGGGGCAGGUCCGGGCUGGGCAGUGAGGAGGGCGUGACGCCGCGAUGUACACCUCGCCCUUGUCAAACUGGGACGGGUGUAGUCCUCACCCCACUUCCCGCUGCUCAGCUGGGUUCCCUCUCCCACCUGUACCCAGGGUCUUUCCUGGCCAUCGCGCCUCCUGCAGCCCAGGGAGCCACCGGCUUUCCUAAGCUGCUGUGGGAACUGGCCUGAGGUCCAGGCGCUGUCCAUUGUGCCGCUGCCCUCUUUUCUCUCCAGCCAGAGCGCAGUUCCGCCGCUGUGGGGAGAAAUCCGCCGCCUGGCCCGCCAGUGCACAAGUUCAGAGCUUUGCACGGGGUGACAUGGGCUGUGGCUUCGUGAAAAUGUCACCCUCACCAGCGACUUUUUCGCGGAUGUGGAUAUUGAGGGGGCAGGGAGGGCCAUUAUUGGCUUACCCAGGAGAUGCUAAAAGCAGAGGAGAAAAUUUCAGUUCCCAGGCGUGUGUCUCUGGUGCGCCAUUUUUCACCAACCCAUUUGGUAGAAAGUCCCCCAAAUAGCUACCUAAAGAUUAGGAUGGUUUAGGUAUUUUACACGUGAUAUCAUUGGCCUCAUCUCAACAAAUGUCUGACUGGCCAGUGUCUCAAACACAGAUGGCAGCCUGAUCCUCAGGAACAGGUGGUGCUCCAGCUUUGUGGGAGCGACUUUCAAGGUGUGGACCAUUUGGGGAGUCUUUGUAACUCCUCAGGCUUCACAUCUUUGCUUUGAAUGGAAAGCUCAUCACCCCCCGGCACUCCCGGAGGUACCUUUACUCUCUCGGGCUGAUCUGUUGACCUUUUCUGUCUAGACAAUGGGAACUUCUGGGAUCACUUCUAGUUUCGUGUAAUUGAUGUCCCUAAUUUCCAUAUGUCCCCAGGGACAGUCCCUUUGAUUCUGGAAUGGCGCCAGCUUUUAUGCUUUUUAUGUCUAAUCCGUAAAAACCAAGGUGUUCAUCUACAUGAAAAUAAGACCUUGUUCGUAUCGCACGUUCCAACAGGCUUCAUUUGUGAUUCCUGAAUGUGGAUUACCAUAAAAAAAAACCCUAAAAACCCUGGUCAUGGAUAUUAGACACUGUUAUUGUACUUUGUGAAGAAUUUACUCCUUCAGGAUUAAUUGCACACGGGCUCAUCAGCACCUUUGUCAAUAAAGGAACAAGAACCAUGUGGUGUCUAUGGAUGUGGUGAGAUGAGGAAGAGCCACAGCGCAGCGGUUCUUCUCUUGUUUUCAAUAGAGUCUGUGGGGUCAAGUACCUGCGUUUCUCCCCCAUCCCCCAAUAUUCUCAUUCCACUCCUGAGUGUUCCGUCUUUAGGUGGAAGUUUCUAAAUACACUUGUCCGCAAGUGUUGGUGGGGAUGUUGUAACGUGAGGGCAUCCAUCAUCCAUCACCUUAAAGAUAAAUGGAGAGGAUUUUGUGGUCUGUGUUCAAGAGGCACUGCUGUUGGGUGUGUUGCUGCCAAAACACGUGAUCUCAGCUGUCCCCAGCAGCUGUCUUAGAAGAUUGGUCCUGAUGUAGCCACAGCUGCUGUUCACAGAGCCAGGAGCUCUUUGCAGUUUGGUGUAUUCUGCUGAGAUUUAUGGCUCCGACCCUCCUCUGCUCUGCCAUUCCUGGUAGUAACUGCUCAGCUGCCUGGUUUGCUCCAGUGUCCUGGGACCCUGUUAUGUAACUGCAUUUCAGAGGGUCUUAAGAGAUUCUACCCUCACUACACCAGUCACUCUACACUGGCCGUGCACUUAGCUUCUUGGAGCCCUGCUUGUGUCCUCUUAAGUGGAGCUGUGAAGAGUUCUAGUUAGGGAUAGAUCUCGUUCUUAUGCGCUUCAGGCUUAUUAGAAAGCUGAUCAUCUCGUCUUUGGACACAUGGACAUUGUUACUUUUGUGUAUUUUGAAGUCCGAUGCUGUUUUUUUUUUAAAUAAAAAAAAAAUGUGGACCCUAGCAGUAACAGUCACUUUUAAAUAUCUUUGUGAAUUUAACUCUGGCAACAACUCGAUGAUGUUGGCAUGCAAUCCCCAUUUUAUAGGUGUGGAAACUGACACUCAGAGAGGUAGAGUAGCUUUAUUUACUUCACACAAGCUUUUGAUGAAUUUCAAGUCUCAACCUAGAAGUCUUCCUCUAGGGCAUGAUCAUGGCAUAUUCUACUUUGUUUCUCUGCCAGCAUCCCAAAGGGGUCCACAUCUCAUUAGGACUCCAUUUUCUUAAUAACAGGAAAUUUGCAGAAACAGGCCUUUUUGGGGGAGAGCACUCACUGGGACUUGGCCUUCCCUGUCCUCCACCUUCCCCUUGGCAGAGCAUAGGUGAUUUGAGGGAGCUGGAGCAGCGGUACCUUACCUGGAACACUUGUUAUGUAAAGCCCUCACCUGGAACGCUUGUUGUUAUGUAAAGAUAACUACCUCUCACUUUUUUAGGUGUGAUUUUUUUUCUUCUAAUUAUUCCUCUGGGCUUUCUCUUCUAGAUUUGUGCUGUGCACUAACAUGCAAUACAAAUACUGAUGAAAAUAAAACUAUUGCCCUCCUACCAAAUGAGAAAUUAAUGUUAUGACUGGAUGAAGACAAUUGUGAAGAAACUGCACUUUGAGGUUGUCUAUCUCUGUAUUCUGAUGGAAAAGCGUGGAGUUUAGAAGCACUGCUCACUCCUUCAGUUUCUAACAACAUCUGCACCGUGUUUUAUAUUUCGGACUAUGCUGCAUUUCAUCACAAUAAAUUCCUCUAGCUGUUUGGGGUGACAUAAACUACUGAAAGAGUGACUCCAGAAAGUGCUGCCAUCAAUAUCUGCAACUUGUAGGGUGUUUGGAUCAAUGAGGUGAAUGGCACUGGUUAUUCGAAUACACACACAAAUCUGGUUCAUAUUUCCCAGGCUUUGUGUCAGUUUUGGAGACAGACAGACAACAUAAUCCUGGCAUAUUGGAACAAUUUCCACAGAAAAAGUGCUUUUGUAAUUGUAUGUAUUACUAUGGACAUCCUGAGAGAUCAGUCUUUGGGAUGCGUUGUAUCUACAGGGAACUGUAUACUGAAUAAAUUCGACCAUCUUCUGAGCAUGUGGUUUUGAGGAAUAAUAAAAAUCCAGACCAUCAUGAAUCUCUUUGAUACGAAGUGUAUUCUGAUGCCUUCCAUAUUUCAGAAUUAACUGUUCCAGAUAGUAGAAAGCUUUUUUGUGCAAAGUCUUUUGCCUCACUUGAAUCACAGCCCUCCAGAAACCCUUAGCUUCUACUCUAUGGCAAUCUCCACAUAUUUGGGACUGAACAGCAUAAUCCACCACAAACACUUGUUGAAGGACAGCACCAUUCAUCACCUCUUUCUGGAGUCAGUUUAACUUUAAAUCUCUUAGAAUGGGGCUCAGUCCAAACAAAGCCUGCAUUCACAAGCCGUUCCUUACUCAGAGGGGCUUUGAACACAAAGCAAGAAGUUCCCUGGAUUCUAAAGCACACCGUAUCCAAGUUCCUGGUGGCUGAAAAUACCUUUGACAUUGUUUGUAGAACAAAAGUGAGACUUGUUUUGGAAUAUCUUGGCUGAUGCCCACUUUACUUUGCAAACAGGCCACACAAAUAUUGGCAGGAUUGGGACUUAUUGCAAUACCACACUCACAGCACAGGAUGAGUCCAGGGCUGCGGUCAGUCGAUUCUGUCAUAUACUCCAUUGUUCUGUAUGCUUCACACCUCCAGACCAGCCCUGGAUUUGCUGAAAACCUGCAACAAAAUAGACCCCGGCUGUCCUGUCAGCUGCCACCAUGGCCAUCUUCACCACAGCGAAGAUCUCACGAAGUGGUUGUUUUUUAUGGUUUCUAUUUAUCUAUUAAAAUAAUUUUUUAAAUAUAGGUGGGGUCUUGCUCUAUUGGCCAGGUUGGUCUUAAACUCUUGGUCCCAAGCAAUUCUCCAGCCUCAGCCUCCCAAAUUGCAGUUAGCACAGGUGUAAGCCAACAUGAUCAGCCUAUUUAUUAUAAUUCUCAUUUUGUUUCUGUGUCAUUUCAUAACAUUUUUAGUUAUCUAUUGGUGUUCUUUUGGAUUUUAUUGAAAUCUCUUGAUGAUUAUUUUUAAUUCUAUGUUGGCCAAUUCUGAGAUCUCCAUUUCUUUGCAGAUUUUUACUAGAGCUUUAUUAGUUUCUUUGGGUGAUGUUCAUGAUUUUCAGAUUCUUUAAGAUCUGUGCAGGCUUAUGUCUGUGUCCCUGAAUAUGAAGGAGUAAACACAUCUUCCACUAAUCAUAGGAGAGUUUUGAAAGAUAAAUACUUUCUCCUAUUGGGUCCCUGGGCUGAUGAGAUUUUAAUUGACAUUGCAGUUGAGUUUGUUGGAGCCAGGUCACAUAAUUGCUACUUGGUCUUUAGUGGGUUUCGUGGUUGGCAGACCCGUUAUUAACACAUAAGACAGUUAUAAAUUCUGUCUGUUCCCUGGAAGAGUCAACUUUCUUUUUUUUUUUGAGACGGAGUCUCGCUCUUUUGCCCAGGCUGGAGUGCAAUGGCACUAUCUCGGCUCACUGCAAGCUCCGCCUCCAGGUUCACGCCAUUCUCCUGCCUCAGCCUCCUGAGUAGCUAGGACUACAGGCGCCCGCCACCGCGCCCGGCUAAUUUUUUGUAUUUUUAGUAGAGAAGGGGUUUCACCGUGUUAGCCAAGAUGGUCUUGAUCUCCUGACCUCGUGAUCCGCCCGCCUCGGCCUCCCAAAGUGCUGGGAUUACAGGCGUGAGCCACCGCGCCCGGCCAAGAGUCAACCUUCUUUAGAAUAUCGAUUAUCAGGACUAGUGCUGAGAUAAGAAAUUGCAGUUGUUUCUGCAUAUGGGGUGCUGGUAGAAUAGAUGUAGACAGGUGUGGCUCCCACUAGGUCUCUGGGAGUGCGCUAAUCCAGUUAUUAGACAGCUUACUGGAUGGGCAGUACUGACCCCUAAUCAAAGCUGAGAGCCAUGGGAACUAAUUUAUAGGGCUGCUUCAGGAUACACGAGUGAGGCUAAAUUCUUCAGUUCUGUCUCUGGGUCCAUGGUGUAUUUCCCUCCAGGUUUCUGGGUGGGUAGGACUGCUCCCAGACACUGGCUGACUGGGAUUAGAACUGGGUUACAGGGCUGCUUUAAGAUUCACAGUGAGACUGAUGUCAGCAGGCCUGCCUAGAGGGGCACUGAUUUAUGAUUUUAGGCAAAUCUCAGGUUGAGCAAAACUGCUUUUGAACUGUGCCUGCAUGAAACUAGAGCCCAGCGCCGUUUCUGUUUUCUUUUCUUUUCUUUUUCUUUCUUUUUUUUUUUUUUUUUUUUUUUUUUUUUUUGACAGUCUUGCUCUGUUACUCAGGCUGCAGUGCAGUGGUGGGAUUUCGGCUCACUGCAAACUCUGCCUCCUGGGUUCAAGUGAUUCUCCUGUCUCAGCCUCCCGAGUAUCUUGGACUGCAGGUGCCCGCCACCACCCUGGCUAAUUUUUUGUAUUUUUAGUAGACACAGAGUUUGACCAUAUUGGUUAGGCUGGUCGAACUCCUGACCUCAGGUGAUCCACCCACCUCAGCCUCCCAAAGUGCUGGGAUUACAGGUUUAAGCCACUGUGCCCAGCCCAACCAUUUCAUGAUCCACAUUCAGUUCAAUAUUGAUUGUCCUACAUCCAAGGAAAUAGAUGGAUGUUUUUCCCUGAGGGUCCCUGUGUGGACAAGAUUUCUCCCUGACCAUGCCUGAGAAGUAAAGAAGGUGAGUUUUGUCUGAUUCAGGGACUACAGACAGAACCAAGUUUUGCAGGCCUGUCACCUAAGUCUCAGGUGAGUAUCAAUUCUCCUGGGUUUUUGGCAGAUGGUUGCAGUGGCAGGACCAAGGCCUAGUGAGCUAUAGCUAAAUCUACAGUGGGAUGUGGCAGUAUUUUGUUUUGGAGCUGGGACCAUGAUUGGCAAGCACGCCACUUGGCCAAGGGCUUACUCUCUCAAAUUGUUCCCCUUGGUCUUUGCCUCCAGCUGUCACAAACUGACCUGGAUCCCAAGGCUCUUAUAAAUGCAGUUUUGUUUGGCAUGGCUUCCACAUUCUGUUGUGGGAUAUGCCUGCAGGACCUCCUGUUCCAUCAUCUUGCUUAUGUUACUCUCCUAUACACUUCACUUUCUGAAAUGAAUGUUGUUUCUGACUUUUAGAUUCAAAAGUUACACAUUAUGUAAGAUGUAAAUUAAAUUACCAGUAGGUGCCCACAUAUUUAUUAAAAUAUUUCAUUAUAAUUUUAAGCUCACUGA